UGCAGGUCGAACGGUAACAGGUCUUCGGACGCUGACGAGUGGCGAACGGGUGAGUAAUACAUCGGAACGUGCCCAGUCGUGGGGGAUAACUACUCGAAAGAGUAGCUAAUACCGCAUACGAUCUGAGGAUGAAAGCGGGGGACCUUCGGGCCUCGCGCGAUUGGAGCGGCCGAUGGCAGAUUAGGUAGUUGGUGGGAUAAAAGCUUACCAAGCCGACGAUCUGUAGCUGGUCUGAGAGGACGACCAGCCACACUGGGACUGAGACACGGCCCAGACUCCUACGGGAGGCAGCAGUGGGGAAUUUUGGACAAUGGGCGAAAGCCUGAUCCAGCAAUGCCGCGUGCAGGAUGAAGGCCUUCGGGUUGUAAACUGCUUUUGUACGGAACGAAAAAGCUUCUCCUAAUACGAGAGGCCCAUGACGGUACCGUAAGAAUAAGCACCGGCUAACUACGUGCCAGCAGCCGCGGUAAUACGUAGGGUGCGAGCGUUAAUCGGAAUUACUGGGCGUAAAGCGUGCGCAGGCGGUUAUGUAAGACAGAUGUGAAAUCCCCGGGCUCAACCUGGGAACUGCAUUUGUGACUGCAUGGCUAGAGUACGGUAGAGGGGGAUGGAAUUCCGCGUGUAGCAGUGAAAUGCGUA
Molecule: ribosomal RNA, 639 nt
Filed under: uncultured Delftia sp.
Lineage: Bacteria; Pseudomonadati; Pseudomonadota; Betaproteobacteria; Burkholderiales; Comamonadaceae
Description: bacterial SSU rRNA
Rfam family: Bacterial small subunit ribosomal RNA
Source: RNAcentral